Molecule: ribosomal RNA, 1534 nt
Filed under: metagenome
Description: bacterial SSU rRNA
Rfam family: Bacterial small subunit ribosomal RNA
Source: RNAcentral
AGAGUUUGAUCCUGGCUCAGAACGAACGCUGGCGGCGUGGAUUAGGCAUGCAAGUCGAGCGGGAUUCUUGGAGUUUAUUCUUCGGAUGAGACUCCUUGAUGAGAGCGGCGAAAGGGUGAGUAAUGCAUAGAUAAUCUACCCUCAAGUUGGGGAUAGCCCUUGGAAACGAGGGGUAAUACCGAAUGUGGUUUGUGUCCGCAUGGACACUGUUCUAAAGGUGGGGAUCUUCGGACCUGCCGCUUGAGGAUGAGUUUAUGUGCUAUCAGCUUGUUGGUGAGGUAAUGGCUCACCAAGGCUAAGACGGCUAGCUGGUCUGAGAGGAUGACCAGCCACACUGGGACUGAGACACUGCCCAGACUCCUACGGGAGGCUGCAGUCGAGAAUCAUUCGCAAUGCGCGAAAGCGUGACGAUGCGACGCCGCGUGCAGGAUGAAGGCCUUCGGGUUGUAAACUGCUGUCGCGAGGGAACAAUAUCCAGAUUGUUAAUACCUUUCUGGCUUGAUGGUACCUCAGGAGGAAGCCACGGCUAACUCUGUGCCAGCAGCCGCGGUAAUACAGAGGUGGCGAGCGUUGUUCGGAUUUACUGGGCGUAAAGGGUGCGUAGGCGGUACUGUAUGUUGGAUGUGAAAUCUCACGGCUCACCCGUGAAAUGGCAUUCAAAACUGCAGAACUUGAGUAUAGGAGAGGAGAGCGGAAUUCUUAGUGUAGCGGUGAAAUGCGUAGAUAUUAAGAAGAACGCCGGAAGCGAAGGCGGCUCUCUGGACUAAUACUGACGCUGAGGCACGAAAGCUGGGGGAGCGAACAGGAUUAGAUACCCUGGUAGUCCCAGCCGUAAACGGUGUGCACUUGGUGUGGGGGGAGUUAUCCCCCUCCGUGCCGGAGCUAACGCGUUAAGUGCACCGCCUGGGGAGUACGGCCGCAAGGCUAAAACUCAAAGGAAUUGACGGGGGCCCGCACAAGCGGUGGAGCAUGUGGCUUAAUUCGAUGCAACGCGAAGAACCUUACCCAGGCUUGACAUGCCUGUCGUAUCCUAUCGAAAGACUGGAGUCAGUUCGGCUGGACAGUGCACAGGUGCUGCAUGGCUGUCGUCAGCUCGUGCCGUGAGGUGUUGGGUUAAGUCCCGCAACGAGCGCAACCCUUAUGUUUAGUUGCUAACAGGUUAUGCUGAGCACUUUAGACAGACUGCCCGUAACAAGCGGGAGGAAGGUGGGGAUGACGUCAAGUCAGUAUGGCCCUUAUGCCUGGGGCUGCACACGUGCUACAAUGGGUGGUACAGAGGGAAGCAAGACCGCAAGGUGGAGCAAAUCCUGAAAGCCAUCCUCAGUUCGGAUUGGAGUCUGCAACUCGACUCCAUGAAGCCGGAAUCGCUAGUAAAGGCGUAUCAGCUACGACGCCUUGAAUACGUUCCCGGGCCUUGUACACACCGCCCGUCACAUGUCGGAAGUUGACUGCACCCGAAGUCGCUGAUCUAACCAUUUAUGGAUGAAGGCGCCGAAGGUGUGGUGGGUAACUGACAUGAAGUCGUAACAAGGUA